ACCUUUGAUUGACACUUCGGUUGAUUUCAAAGGCGGAAAGCGGCGGACGGGUGAGUAACGCGUAGGCAACCUGCCCUUGCAGAGGGAUAGCCUCGGGAAACCGGGAUUAAAACCUCAUAAUGCUGAUCCUACACAUGUUGGAUCAGCCAAAGAUUUAUCGGCAAGGGAUGGGCCUGCGUCUGAUUAGCUGGUUGGUGGGGUAACGGCCUACCAAGGCAAUGAUCAGUAGCCGACCUGAGAGGGUGAUCGGCCACAUUGGAACUGAGACACGGUCCAAACUCCUACGGGAGGCAGCAGUGGGGAAUAUUGCACAAUGGGCGAAAGCCUGAUGCAGCAACGCCGCGUGAGCGAUGAAGGCGGAUUCGUCGUAAAGCUCUGUCCUUGGGGAAGAAGAACUGACGGUACCCUUGGAGGAAGCCCCGGCUAAAUACGUGCCAGCAGCCGCGGUAAUACGUAUGGGGCGAGCGUUAUCCGGAAUUAUUGGGCGUAAAGAGUACGUAGGUGGUUUUUUAAGCGGGAGGUUUAAGGCUACGGCUUAACCGUAGUUCGCCUCUCGAACUGGAAGACUUGAGUGCAGGAGAGGAAAGCGGAAUUCCUAGUGUAGCGGUGAAAUGCGUAGAUAUUAGGAGGAACACCGGUGGCGAAGGCGGCUUUCUGGAC
Molecule: ribosomal RNA, 660 nt
Filed under: Anaerovorax sp. G61
Lineage: Bacteria; Bacillati; Bacillota; Clostridia; Peptostreptococcales; Anaerovoracaceae
Description: bacterial SSU rRNA
Rfam family: Bacterial small subunit ribosomal RNA
Source: RNAcentral